CUCCUCUUACUGUAGAUAUAGUCUGAUUUUAAAGCCUUUUCUUCCCUGACUUAUCUCAUCUUUCCUUUUCAUCCACUGUCAUCAGCACUUUCUCAUGUGUAGAGAAGGGCAGGUUCAUCAUCUCUUGCCUUGCCUGUGGGUGGAGCCCUUCCUUGGGUGCCAGGUUCAGGCACCUGCAUCUUAUUUACUCAUUACUGCACUGUGUAUAAGGACUAUCUUCCUCCGCCAUGUUUGCCAGAUUGUUGUUAUUCUUGUUUUGGUACUCAGGCUCUCUGAACGUUUGCUUUGUGCCCCAGUUUCUGCUAGUCUCCUGGAAACGCUACCACCUUUGGACAAACACUCACCUGUUGCUGUCAAGCUGGUCAUCAACUACAGAGGACAGAAAGUCAUUCAUCGCUUAAUGUCUGUGCACCUGCUUGCCCACUUUCUGUCACUCCUGCUUCCUGGAUCCU
This is a long non-coding RNA of Oreochromis niloticus (Nile tilapia), 452 nucleotides long. RefSeq lists it as uncharacterized. The record is from RefSeq and is a predicted model, not a curated record. The transcript is spliced from 3 exons. Lineage: Eukaryota; Metazoa; Chordata; Actinopteri; Cichliformes; Cichlidae.